RNAcentral lists this ribosomal RNA (484 nucleotides) under uncultured bacterium. Its description in RNAcentral is "partial 16S ribosomal RNA". It matches the Rfam family "Bacterial small subunit ribosomal RNA", at positions 30 to 507 of the family's 1533-position model. The record is from RNAcentral.
AUUGAACGCUGGCGGCAGGCCUAACACAUGCAAGUCGAGCGGACGAAGGAAACUUGCUCCUGUCUUCUGCUACCGACGGGUGAGUAAUUCCUAGGAAUCUACCUUGUCUAUGGGGCUAACGUCCGUACGCGAGCCCUGAUCCCGCAUCCGUCCUUAGUGAGAACGUCAGGGUUCUUAGGACCUCGCCCUACCAGCUGUCCCUAGGACGGAUUAGCUAGUUGGUGGGGUAAAGGCCUACCAAGGCGACGAUCCGUAACUGGUCUGAGAGGAUGAUCAGCCACACUGGAACUGAGACACGGUCCAGACUCCUACGGGAGGCAGCAGUGGGGAAUAUUGGACAAUGGGCGAAAGCCUGACCCAGCCAUGCCGCGUGUGUGAAGAAGGUCUUCGGAUUGUAAAGCACUGUAAGUUGGGAGGAAGGUCAGUAAGUGAAUACCUGGCUGUCUUGACGUUACCAACAGAAAAAGCACCGGCUAACUUCGUG